GACGAACGCUGGCGGCGCGCCUAACACAUGCAAGUCGAACGGAGCUGAGAGAAGCUUGCUUUUCUUAGCUUAGUGGCGAACGGGUGAGUAACGCGUGAGUAACCUGCCCUGGAGUGAGGGACAACAGUUGGAAACGACUGCUAAUACCGCAUAAGCCCACGAUCCGGCAUCGGAUUGAGGGAAAAGGAUUUAUUCGCUUCAGGAUGGACUCGCGUCCAAUUAGCUAGUUGGUGAGGUAACGGCCCACCAAGGCGACGAUUGGUAGCCGGACUGAGAGGUUGAACGGCCACAUUGGGACUGAGACACGGCCCAGACUCCUACGGGAGGCAGCAGUGGGGGAUAUUGCACAAUGGGGGAAACCCUGAUGCAGCGACGCCGCGUGGAGGAAGAAGGUUUUCGGAUUGUAAACUCCUGUCGUUAGGGACGAUAAUGACGGUACCUAACAAGAAAGCACCGGCUAACUACGUG
RNAcentral lists this ribosomal RNA (468 nucleotides) under uncultured bacterium. RNAcentral's name for it is "partial 16S ribosomal RNA". It matches the Rfam family "Bacterial small subunit ribosomal RNA", at positions 28 to 507 of the family's 1533-position model. The record is from RNAcentral.